CCUACGGGGGGCAGCAGUAGGGAAUAUUGCUCAAUGGGGGAAACCCUGAAGCAGCAACGCCGCGUGGAGGAUGAAGGUUUUCGGAUUGUAAACUCCUUUUGUUAGAGAAGAUAAUGACGGUAUCUAACGAAUAAGCACCGGCUAACUCCGUGCCAGCAGCCGCGGUAAUACGGAGGGUGCAAGCGUUACUCGGAAUCAAUGGGCGUAAAGAGCGCGUAGGCGGGAUAGCAAGUCAGAUGUGAAAUCCUAGGGCUUAACCAUAGAACUGCAUUUGAAACUGUUAUUCUAGAGUAUGGGAGAGGUAAGUGGAAUUCUUGGUGUAGGGGUGAAAUCCGUAGAGAUCAAGAGGAAUACUCAUUGCGAAGGCGACCUGCUAGAACAUAACUGACGCUGAUGCGCGAAAGCGUGGGGAGCAAACAAGAUUAGAUACCCUGGUAGUC
Molecule: ribosomal RNA, 440 nt
Filed under: uncultured bacterium
Lineage: Bacteria
Description: partial 16S ribosomal RNA
Rfam family: Bacterial small subunit ribosomal RNA
Source: RNAcentral